This 62-nucleotide ribosomal RNA is filed under the name Teratosphaeria cryptica. Its description in RNAcentral is "partial 18S ribosomal RNA". It matches the Rfam family "Eukaryotic small subunit ribosomal RNA", at positions 1769 to 1830 of the family's 1831-position model. The record is from RNAcentral. Lineage: Eukaryota; Fungi; Ascomycota; Dothideomycetes; Mycosphaerellales; Teratosphaeriaceae.
UCAUUUAGAGGAAGUAAAAGUCGUAACAAGGUCUCCGUAGGUGAACCUGCGGAGGGAUCAUU